AUUGAACGCUGGCGGCAGGCCUAACACAUGCAAGUCGAGCGGAUGAAGGGAGCUUGCUCCUGGAUUCAGCGGCGGACGGGUGAGUAAUGCCUAGGAAUCUGCCUGGUAGUGGGGGAUAACGUCCGGACACGGGCGCUAAUACCGCAUACGUCCUGAGGGUGAAAGUGGGGGAUCUUCGGACCUCACGCUAUCUGAUGAGCCUAGGUCGGAUUAGCUAGUUGGUGGGGUAAAGGCCUACCAAGGCGACGAUCCGUAACUGGUCUGAGAGGAUGAUCAGUCACACUGGAACUGAGACACGGUCCAGACUCCUACGGGAGGCAGCAGUGGGGAAUAUUGGACAAUGGGCGAAAGCCUGAUCCAGCCAUGCCGCGUGUGUGAAGAAGGUCUUCGGAUUGUAAAGCACUUUAAGUUGGGAGGAAGGGCAGUAAGUUAAUACCUUGCUGUUUUGACGGUACCAACAGAAUAAGCACCGGCUAACUUCGUG
Molecule: ribosomal RNA, 484 nt
Filed under: uncultured bacterium
Lineage: Bacteria
Description: partial 16S ribosomal RNA
Rfam family: Bacterial small subunit ribosomal RNA
Source: RNAcentral